This 577-nucleotide ribosomal RNA is filed under the name uncultured bacterium. RNAcentral describes it as "bacterial SSU rRNA". It matches the Rfam family "Bacterial small subunit ribosomal RNA", at positions 102 to 677 of the family's 1533-position model. The record is from RNAcentral.
ACGGGUGCGUAACGCGUAGGAAUCUGCCUUGAAGAGGGGGACAACCCGAGGAAACUCGGGCUAAUACCGCAUAAUAUCGAGAGAUUAAAGCUGGGUGGUAACACCUGGCACUUCAAGAGGAGCCUGCGUCCGAUUAGCUAGUUGGUGGGGUAAAAGCCCACCAAGGCGAUGAUCGGUAGCUGGUCUGAGAGGAUGACCAGCCACACUGGGACUGAGACACGGCCCAGACUCCUACGGGAGGCAGCAGUGGGGAAUAUUGGACAGUGGGGGCAACCCUGAUCCAGCAAUGCCGCGUGUGUGAAGAAGGCCUUCGGGUUGUAAAGCACUUUAGUUGGGGAGGAAGAUAUGUAUUUUAAGAGAUAACAUAUUUGACUGUACCCAAAGAAUAAGCACCGGCUAACUCUGUGCCAGCAGCCGCGGUAAUACAGAGGGUGCGAGCGUUAAUCGGAAUUACUGGGCGUAAAGGGCGCGUAGGCGGAUAAUUAAGUUAGAUGUGAAAUCCCUGGGCUUAACCUAGGAACUGCAUCUAAUACUGGUUAUCUAGAGUGCGGUAGAGGAUAGUGGAAUUUCCGGUGUA